This 16067-nucleotide long non-coding RNA is filed under the name Lathyrus oleraceus (garden pea). RNAcentral describes it as "Pisum sativum (pea) long non-coding RNA (PSAT_LNC021579)". The record is from RNAcentral. Lineage: Eukaryota; Viridiplantae; Streptophyta; Magnoliopsida; Fabales; Fabaceae.
UUACAUCAAAAUAUCAAACAGUAAAAUCUAUUUAGGGUAUUUGAAUAGAUCUCUUAUUAGAAGAAGAUGGUGGAGUAAAACACCAACAUCUUCCCUUAAGACACCUUCCUAGAUUAGGAUCUUCACAGUUAGGUUGACAAUCUUGAUCUUUUUUACAAUAUAAUAUUCCUUCUGCCAAGCAAACAUCUACAUAUUCAAACAAUAAGAUUAGAAUUGAAUGUAAAAAUGAAAAAUUUGAAAGGUUAACUAAAAUGUUUGAAGUUAAACAUAAUAGCAUCAAACAUAUAUAAGUACAUUGGUUUCAAACCUGUUGCACAGAUGAAGAAUGUCAAUAAAAAUAAAAUGGCUAUAAGAGAUUUUCUUGUAGUAUUCAUAUUUGUAUCUUGUAUGUACAAAAUAUUACACUAUGUUAGUAUUUAUAUAUGUAUAUUGUGACAAUGCACAAGGGACAUAUAAAUUUUAAUUUAAUUUAAUGCAUUGAAUGUGAAAGAAAAUUUAAUCUUAAUCAAUAGAAUUAAAUUAUUCUUAAAAAGUCAAUUUAAAAUUAAUAUUUGUAUUGACUUAAUUUGAAAAGAGAAUCAAUUUUAAUCUAGAUGGCGGGUGUAAUUAUUGUUUUUGUAAAAUGUAGUCAAUUUUUUUUUGAAGUUUUCAAAAUUUAUUUAUUUUAUAAUUUAAUAAUUUAUAUUUAAGAAGAUGUUGAUGUCAUUACAUAAUUCAUUUUCAAAGAUGAAUCGGUGAUAGUAGGGUGGUAUUGAAUAUAUUUUUUUUUGAAGUUUUCAAAAUUUAUUUAUUUUAUAAUUUAAUAAUUUAUAUUUAAGAAGAUGUUGAUGUCAUUACAUAAUUCAUUUUCAAAGAUGAAUCGGUGAUAGUAGGGUGGUAUUGAAUAUAUAUACUACUUUAACACCAAAUUUUGUCUCUUAAUCUUUUUAUCCAAAUAUGCUUAUUCAUAGUUCUAUAUAAUUAAUAUUAUCUUUUUUAAUAUUAGGUAAAAUUUAUUUAUUAAUAAAAUAUUUUUUGAAAAUGGUAUUAUUAUUAUUAUUAUUAUUAUUAUUAUUAUUAUUAUUAAUAUUAAUAUUAAUAUUAUUGUUACAGUUAAUAGCUCACUGAUAAGCUUUUUAAUAAAAAUUUUGAAAGUGAAAGUUUGAAUAUUAUUUUUCAUAAAAAUACAGUUUUUUAUAUUACACAUGCUAUCAUCAAGUAGAAAUAUUUUUUUUUCAUUAUAUGAACUAAAAUAUUUCUUUAAAAUCGCAAACUCAUAAUCAUGUAAAUUAUAAUUUAAAACAAACUCUUAAUAUCAGAAAAAAAAAACUCUCUUUCUCACUUAGUAAGUGAGAAAAAAAUAGUUUCAAAAAAUAUCUUAUUUCAAACUUAAUUGUAUUUGAUAAUUAAAAAGGAAAUAAAUGUUUAUAAAUUUUUUAUUUUUAUAACAAAAAAUAUCUUAUUUCAAACUUAAUUGUAUUUGAUAAUUAAAAAGGAAAUAAAUGUUUAUAAAUUUUUUAUUUUUAUAAUAAUUAUUUUAUUAUUAUUAUAGUCAACAAAUUACUGAUGAUUUUUGCAUAAACUUUUUAAAAUAUCAUAAAACUUUUAAAAUAGAAUGGUCGGAUAUUUUUUUUUAUUAAAAUACUAUUUCAAUACUAUUCAUAGCAGGAUCAAAUAUAAAUAAUUUUUUUUUUAUAAUAUAAAUAAUUAGGACGUUCAUGGGUGCGGGUCGACCCACGAAUCCGCUAAUCCAAAUCAACCAAUUUAUAAAUUACCGGACUAAUUCAUUUACGGAUAUAUUCAAUCCAACUCAUAAUAAUCCGUAUAGUUUUGGUUCAGAUAUUGAGUUUGAGUUUUGCAACCCGCGGACCCGUUAACCCAACUCAUUAAUAUGACUUUAGUAAUUUCUUAAUAUUUUAAAUAAAAAUAUAAAUUAAUAUCUCACUAAUAAUCAUAAUUUUUUCAAAAAAAUCUAUUCUCCACAAAUAAUAUUACUCGACCAAUGAGUUUACGUAAUUCUAAGAUUAAAUGUUGUUUCUUAGUUUCUUUUGUAUCAUUACCAACUUAUGUAUUUUAUAGAAAUAACGUGUCUUGUUGAAUUUCAUCUAUUAUAAAGUGUUAUGUCGAGUUGAUAAAUUUUAAUAGAUAUUACAUGAUGUGUUUCAUUGAGUUUAAGUGUUAUAAAAAUGAAUAUGAUUGUAUUGAGUUGUGUUAAUUUUUUUUUAAACUGAAACAAAAGAAAUCAUAAAAAAUAUAUUUUUUGAAACACAACCCGCGAACUCAACUCAAUCCAACUCAUUAAUAAACAGGUGGGGUCGGUUUUGACAAUGCAAUUGUGGGUUGGACGACGGAUCCAACCUAUUGAAUUCUGAACGAGUUAGGCCAAAUCCGAUCCAACGCAACCCGCGUACACCCCCUAUAAAUAAGAAUAUUUUAUUUUAAAUUAUCAACUCACAACUAUAAAAUUAGUGGAAUAAUGAUUUAAACUGAAAUUUUUAAUAUCGAUUAUAAAAAAGUAUAUUGGGUGAAAGAAAUAGUGUUUUUAAAAAAAAACCUGUUAGGAAUUAAACCAUAUCUAAUAUAAAAUAAAGGAAAUAAAUUAUCUUGAUUAAAUAUAAUAAUAUAGUACCAACACUAAUUGUUUGAUGGUUAGUUUAAGAGUAUUAUAUAAUGCAGCUUAGACGUCAUAGUCGAGUUGCAAAAUUCUAAUUCAUUCUCUAUAAGACUAGAGUACCCAAUUCAUCGAGCCGAAAUAGUUUAUGAAAAAUGCGAGUCCACUCUAGUAUUUAAAUUAUUCAAAAUCCUUUGUAUUUAGAAUGUGAUUCUAAUCCUUUCCAUAUGAGUGAAAAGGUACAAAACAAGAUAAACAUGUCUGAACAAAAUCGUAAAGGACCAUAAGACUAUGGGUACCUAAAUCGGAAAUCAUUUUUUGCUACAAAUAUGCUUUCAAGGGAAAACAAAGCAACAAUCAUGUACCUGAACCAGUGGUUCCUCACGACAUAUGACAGGAGAUUCAUAUGUUUAUUAAUAAUGUCUGGUUGGUGGAUGGACUAAACAUAACCUACUUAGCAUAAGUGAAUUUCAUGAUAAUGGUUAUGAAGUAAUGUUUAAUAAGAACAUUUACACAGUCAUGAAAGAAUUUGAUAAAUCUCUAGUGUUCAAGGGUAAGAGUAAGGCAAUGUUUACAAAAUUAAGUUUUAUGAAUUGGCUGAUUAGAAAGUACAUUGCCUCUACAGUGGAAUAAUGAAAGCAGGUCUGACCAAAAGGUUAGUCAGGCUAACUGAAGAUUAUCUGCAAGCUUAGCCAGUUAAAACUUAGUAAGGGGCUACCAGAUCUUAGCUAUCAUUCAGAUGCUAUAUGUGUAGUCUUCCAAAUUGGGGAAAAAGUAACAAAGAACUUUGUCUUACCUCUAGACCCUUAGAACUGCUUCACAUUGAUUUGUUGCGUCCUGUUAGACUGCAUCAAUCAAUGGAAGAAUAUGGACUUGUGAUAGUUGAUGAAUUAAUAGUUGGACUUGGGUUAAAUUCCUUAGAAUCAAGGUGAAUCAUAUGAUGUGUUUAAUGUUUCUGCAUACAAGUACAAAUGAAAAGGGUCAAAAUAUUUAAGGUAAUGAGUGAUCAUGGGAGAAAAUUUGAAAUGAACUUUGAAAAGUUUUGUGAAAAAAUGGAAUCCUCCAUAAGUCUAUUCUCCUAAGAACUCCAUAGAAAAUGGAGUUGUAUAGAGGAAGAGCAGAUCCCUACAAGAAAUGGCCAGAACCAUAAUUCUGAAAAUCUUACCAAAGUACUUGUGGUUAGAAGCUGUGAACACAAUAUUGUUAUGUUCAGAACAUGAUCUCAUCAAUAACCCAUAUGAACAAAACUAUAUAUGAGAUAUUCAAAGAAAGGAAGCCUAACAUUUCUCUUAUCAUCAGUUUGGAUGACAUGUUACAUCUUAAACACAAGUAUAUCUAAAGAUUGAUGCCAGCUCAAAAGGUACCUUUUAUACUCUGAUGUCAAAGACAUGUAUGGGUUAAUCUGAACCAAAUGUUGAAGAUAUUAACAAAAUAUUGAGUAUCAAAGUAGAAGACAAACAAACCUUCACGGAACGCAGUUGGAGCAAACUUAUAAUCUUAAGAUUUCAUAUAUCAUAAGUCUCUCCAGAAGCUGGUGGAUCAUAAUCUAUGACUCCUUUAGAAGUUGAAUGUUCAGAAGGUAGUGUGCAUAACCAAACCAAUUUAACCACAUCCAAAGAAAAAGUUCUGAAGAAGAUCCUUGUGACUCUCAGAGAACGCACAAUCCAGAAAAACCUUCAAUUAGAAGUUUCUCAUCCAUAAGAGUUAAUCAUUGGAAACAAAGAUAGUCCUCUAAAAAACAAGAUAUGCAUUCAUAGAGGAGCAUUUAAUGCCAAGACUAUCUCCAUGAAAGAACCAAAUUCUGUGAUGAAGCCUUAUCUGAGGAUGGAUGGAUUGUAGCAUCGCAAGAAGAAUUGAACCAGUUUCAAAGGAAUGAUGUGGGAGAUCUGGUUCCCACACCUCAUCAAUAAAACAUCAUUAAAAAAAUGGGUGUUCAGAAGAAAGCUUAAUGAGCAAGGAGAGGUGGAAAGAAAAAGUCACACUGUAGCUCAAGCUAUAACCAACAAGAAGGUAUAAAAUUCUUGAAACCUUUUCACAUGUUUCAAGGUUAGAGGAAUUAGUUUACCUUCUCUCCUAUGCUAUUAGUCAUGACAAACAUUCUAUAGUCAAAUGGAUGUACAGAGUGAAUUUUUUAAAUGGUGUCAUUUUUGAAAAAGUAUAUGUAAAACAAACACUUUGGUUUAAAGAUUCAAUCCAUACAGACUAUUUUUCAAACCUAAGUCACUUUAUAGACUUAAAACAGGCUCCUAGACCUAUUACGGAGAUUGAUUAACUUACUUUUAGAAAUGAUUUCACAAAGGGCAAGUUGAUACUACACUCUUCAGAAAAACAUUGAAAAUGACAUCUUAAUUGUCAAGUGUAUGUAGAUGAUAUUAUUUUUUGUUAUACUAAUAUACCCUGUGCAAGAGUUUUCUAAGACAAUGCAGGAUGAAUUUGAGAUGAGCAUGAUGGGGAAUGAAGCUCUUCCUUGGAAUUCAAAAUCAACCAAAGCAAAGUGGAGUCUAUGUUCAUCAACCAACAAUAUACUAAAGAGCUUCUGAAGAAGUUCAAGCUUGAGACUGCAUUAUGAACAGUCCUAUGCAUCCAACAGGCAAUAUAUACAAAGAAGAAGAAAGCUCAUAAGACUAUCAGAAUUUUUAUAGAGGUAUUAUGGUUUCUUACUCUACUUAACAAAUUCUAGGCCACAUAUUUUGUCAGUGUGUGCAUAUGUGCAAGAUUACAAUCAGAUCUUAGCGAGACUCACUUAACUAAUGUUUAAGAGAAUCUAUAUUCAUCUGAAGGAACUAUUAAUCUAGGGUUGAUUUAUAUAAUCCUAGAUUACAAAGCUGGUUGGAUUCUAUGAUGCCUGACUAUGUUGGGGAUAGAGUUGAAAAGAAAUCACUAGAGGAAACUAUCAAUUCUUACGUGAAAACUUAAUUCACGGGCUAGUAAAACACUGAUAAGUAUUGCUUUGUCCACUUCAUAGCAAACACAUCUUAACUGCUAAAUGUUGCACACAACUCCUCUGGAUGAAAUAUAAGUUGGAAGAUUGUCAGAUUAGUGAAAAUAAUAUUUCCAUCUUCUGUGAUAAUACUGCUGCCAUCUGUUUAAUUAAAAAUCUAGUUCAACAUUCUAGAACAAGAAAAUAGAGAUAAAACAUUUAUUUUAUUAUAGAUUGUGUUCAGAAAGGUAUAAUAGAUAUACAGUUCAUUGAUAACAAAUUAUCAUAUGGGCUGAUAUAUUUUACCAAGCCACUUAUAAUAAAAAGAUUUGAUUUCAUUAAAAGAUCUGAACAUGCAUUUAUGGAAGAUUAGGUGAUUGCUUCUAGUGAAGAUCAAAGAUUGAUAUGAUUAGAAGCACUAUGGUCAGAAGCUCUACAGCUUCUGAUGUGUAGUAACUUCUGAAGCAUCUCACCUCUGAUGCUCUAAACUUGAUUAAAUGUUUUCUGAUGGCAUAUACACUGGUUUUUUAUUUAUGUUUGAAACAUUCUUAUAUAUAACUGUCCAUUUAUGUGUCAUAAAUCUGAAAAAUAUUUUGAUUUAGUCUUAUAUUUGUUAAGUUUUCAUUUGUGCUUAUUUGCUCUAUCUCUAAGCAUAUCAAUGUUGAUAUUGGGUUGUUUAAAAUAAAAUAUGUUUGACAAUCCCCCUGGACAUCAAGUUAGGGCAAUUAUUUUUAAAUUCACCACGCACACAUGAUAUGAUGGUUGAAAAGAGAUUCAAGCAAAACUAGGAAAUAUAUUGAUUUUAUUCAAUAGAAAAGGAUUACAAGGCUUUAAAUUAAAAGAGACAAUACAACUAAAAGCUUCUCCAACAGAAGAGGCUAUUCUACUUGUCAUCAGUUCACCCUCAUAACAAUGAGGAACUUCUUCUAGUCUGGCAUCCACUCGUCAUCAUAUGAUUCUUUCUUUGGGGAUUAUUCAUCCUUGUCUCUGAGGUUUUCCAACCCUUUGUGCACCAGCAGAAGUUCAGCACCUUUUGAAGAGUUGAUUUUGUCAUGUCUCUGGAUCUUUAUAGUAUUCUUAACUUCUUUUGAGGAACCACCCUUGUUGUCUUAUCUUAUUUGCGCAUUUCGACCAGAGGAGAGUUUAUGAAAGAAGGAGAAAUGGAUUUUCUGUUUGUUCUAAACUGACUUUUAUAGGGAAAAUGGGAACAACUGAAAUCUGGAUCAUUUAAUGUGCACUAUGGAAUCAAGAGAGAGAUGGCAUUCUUGGUAUUCAAACUCACUUUCCAAAGGUUUGAGUUCUAGGCCUCAUAGGCUCAAACAUUGUUGGAAUAUCUCGCGGUUUGUAGAACAUUUUCCAACCAGUCAAGUCAUUUAUUAAAAUCACACCUUUUCUUGCUUUCAUGUUUUAAUUGAAGACACAAGGGGGAACAUGUCUUGCUUUUCAUUAUUUAAAUCAGACAAAUUAUUUCCCAUAUAUUUAUUUUUCUUCAGAAUCUUUUCUUUUCGUGAUGUUAUCUUUUUGUUUAUGGCCAAAGGGGGAGGGGGAGUUAAGGGUAUUUAAGCACACCUAAGCACCAAAAUAUGAUGAUUAUUCUUAGUGUUGCUUAAUUAAAUCAUGAAGAUUAAUGAUAUUGUGCCUUAGAAGGAAUUUAAUUAAUUGGAUAUGACUUAGGGUAACUUACAAACCUCAUCCUUUGGACUUACAGACUAAGGUGGAGCUUGCAAACCUCAGACCCUGAAGCUAACAUGUUAAUUAAAUUAACCAUUGUUUUAAAUAUUUAUGUUUGUAUCAUCAAAAGGGGAGAUUGUUGGAACAAAAUUGGUCAAUACCAUAGAUCUCUUAGGUUUUAAUAAUAAGAAAUUAUUAAAGAACAUUGAGUAUUCUAACAUUUGUUCAAGUAUGCAUGAUUACAAAACCAAGAACAUAUGAAUAGAUGAUUGAUUGUUCUGCAUUUGAAGUUCAUACUCUGGUUCUAAAGAUCACUUCUGAACUCUAGAUUUGAUGGAAGAACAAGACUCGGAAGAAGUUACGGAUAAUUCGGAAUGUAGAGAAAAACAAGAAGCGGGGUUUGAAUUGUUUUGAGAGAAUAAAAACUAAUGAUAUUGAAAUUCUCAACUACUACAGAAAAUCGAACAAAAAGCUAAGAAUGAUUUUCAAAGCACAAGAGAGAAAAUAAAGAAAGAAAGUAUUAAAUUAAUAUGAUAAUAUAGUAGAAUAUUCAUAUAAAUGAUAAAUAAAUACUAAUAUUAAAUAAAAAUAAAAUAUUUUUUAUUAUCAUUUUAUUCUGACAUAAUGAUUACAUCAAAAUAUCAAACAGUAAAUCUAUUUAGGGUAUUGAAUAGAUCUCUUAUUAGAAGAAGAUGGUGGAGUAAAACACCAACAUCUUCCCUAUAAGACACCUUCCUAGAUUAGGAACUUCACAGUUCAGGUGUUAUGUCAUUCUUAGGUUUUCAAAUAUGUUAUCACUCUCACGUCACUUUUCAUUCUUUCACUAACUUGGGUAUUAAAGUGUUAACCUUUUAGGUCAACCUCCUCUUCUUCGCACUGUAAGCUUGCUCCAUAGUACCAAGUUCCUACUUCAUGUUCUUCGAAAAGCCAUGGAUCCACAACAUAAAAAAUAUGCUCUUAAUGAGUGUUUAGGGGCAUGAAGUUAUUUGUGGGUCCGUGUUAGCUUGAGAUUUUUAGCUAAGUGAAAAUUAAACAAAUUGAUGGUCAUAACUACAUUGACAUUACUAAGUGUCUAAAGCUUAAACCAAAAGCUUCUACAUACUGACGGUAUCGACUUGUUGGUUCGAUUGACCUAUAAGUGAAUUCGAGGUUAAGAAUGGUUUGGGGGAUUCUUAGGAACAAAUACACAAGAUUAUAAUCACUCUCUCUUCCAAACGUGUUUAGAAUCUUGAAAGAACACAAAGCAACCCUUCGACACGAUGUCAAAGUCGACACUUGUAAGUGUUAAGUACUUAGAAUAUUUUCAAGUCCAAAGACCAUGAUGUGGAGGUAUCUCAACCUUUGACAAGGGCGGUUAAAGCGUUCAGAAAUAGCUAUCAACACAGUUAUCACCAUGUUUCAUUUUGGUUUUUAGCAGUUUCUCUUUGAAGACGCAAGGAAGCGAGUUAGAGCAAAGCAUCCAUAAGUAGUAGGACACACGUCAAACAUGUAACCAAGAACUAUUAUUGAUGGUUAGUUUAAGAAUUGAAUAUGCCAGACUUAUCGUCACUUAUGCGAGGUUGCAAAAUUCUAUUCUUCUCUGUAGAACUAGACAGUAACAAUUAUCGAGAGAAAUGUUUAUUGAAGAAUGCGAGUCCAAUCUAGUAUUUUUAAAUUUAUUCAACUUUUGUAUUUAAAAUGUGGUUCUAAGCUUUCAUAUGAGAGCAAGUAAAAAAGAUAAAACAUGUCUGACAAUUCUAAGGGACCAUUAAGCUAUGGGUUACCUAAAUCAGGAAAUUCAUUUUUGCUAACAAAUAUGCCUUUUAGGGAAGCAAGCAAAACCAUGGUACUGAACGUGGUUUCCUCAGCGAAUAUGAAGGAGAUCUAUGUUUAUUAUAUGUUUGGUUGGUGGAUGGGACUAAAAUAUAAACCCUGACUUAGAUAGUCAUUUCAAUUGAUAAUGGUUUGAAUUAAUGUUUAUAGAAAUUGUACAAUUCGUGAAUGACUUUGAUAAUCUCUGUUUUCAGUGUCAAGAGGAAAGGCUGUGUUAAAAAUUAGUUUUAUUGAAUUGGUGAUUAGAAGUCUUGCUUUCUAUCGUGAUAUGAAAGUAGGUCUGACACAAAGGUUGGUUGCUAACAGGAGUUAGAUCUCAGGCUUAGCCAGUUAAAAUUUGUUUAGUGGCUACAGUCUUAGCUUUCUUCGAUGUUUUAGUGUAGUCUUCCAUGGGAAAUCAACAAGAACUUUGUCUCGUACCUCUAAGACUCUUAGAACUGUCUACAAUUGGAUUUUUGUGUCCUGUUAGGACUGUCAUCAUCAUGGGAAAAUAUGACUGUCUAGUUGUGAUGAUUUAAAGUUGGACUGGUUUAGAAUUCCUUAGUACAGGUGAAUAUAUAUGUGUUAUAAUAUCUGCUACGAAUAACCAAACGAAAAGGGUUAAAAAUUUUAAGUACAGGAGUGACAGGAAGAAAUUUUGAAAAUGAACUCUUGAAAAGUUUUGUGAAAUAUGAAUCCCCAUAAUUCCUUCCCUGAACCCUAGAAAAUAGGAGUUAUAGAGGAGGAAACAGUCCUUCCAAGAAAUGGCAGAACAUAAUCAUAAAUAAAUAAUCCAAAAGUACUUGUGGAGAAGCGGAGCAUAAUAUGAUUAGUACGGUUUCGUUCACAUUAGGAUGAUUGGAGAAAUCCGAAGGUAACCAACAUGAGUCCGCACCUCACUUCUAUUUAUCUAAGGAAUGGUUAAAAGCGAACAAAAACCUAAGUUUUAUCGAAUCAAAAACUAGUAAAAUGUCAGAGAUCUGGUAGGGUUGGUUAGCAAUGGGAAGGUUUAGAUCCAAAUAUCCUAGGUACUCCUAGGAGCCCUUUUCAUAAGUGUUGUUUAGUCUAAAGGAUGGUAGUCUAAGAUACUAUUUACUCAAAGGAAGGUAAAGAAAUGACUCGCAAGGAUGUCGCAUCCACUGUUACGUAUAUCUUGAGUAUGAGAAUCAGAGUUUCGUAGCUCGGUACCUAUGGGUUAAAGAGAAGUGUGCUCGGUAAGACGUCGGUUUUGCCCUCGAUAUCAUCAUAUGGAAUGAGAUCAGAGCAAAAGUAGUUCGUAACUAGGGGUUAGAUUUUCAUUUGACAUGGACUUACAAGAGGAACCAGCUGUGUAAAGGAGGGUGGCGUGUGUUCACGUCCUGCAGUAGUGUGCAGCUCGGUGAUCGAGUCUUAGAGCAGUACCUUCUCUGCAAUAGAAGGAUGAUGCACAGAUCGGAGGACCGCGGAAGGUCUAAAAAGUGUGGAGCUCGUGCUUCUAGAGUUGUAUGCUUUAUGGUCCUAUUGUCUUAGGAUUUACAAGGGACAUCUACCUAAUUGCGCUGGCAAAGAUAGGGGAUUCUACUAUGUUAUUACAAGGGUUUACUUAUAUGGUUGUACCUAGGAACAAGAUGUCGACGAUGUGAGUCGGAGGGAGUUAGCGGAUAAGGGUAGAAUGGCGUGCGCGAGGCUCGAUUCAGGUAGAUGGCGAUGCCUGAGGCAUCGGACUUACAAGAGGUUGGCAUGAUACUGUGGUUCUGUUAAGUUUUGAAAAUGAUUACUCGAUGUUGGAUCGAGCUUUUGAUCUUAUUUUGAAAUGGUUAUCGGAUGUUCGUUUUAAUUCUUGUAUUAACAGGUGACUAAAGAAAUAAAUAUUAUAAACUUUAUGGGAGAGGGGUACAUUUGUUAUGAAUGGGGAUUGUUCAUGGCAAACAAACAAUAAGAAUAUAUGCCUCAUACAUCAUACAAGUAGGCAACAGUUAUCAAUCAGACCGGAUAAAUAAAAAAUAUAUAAUCAAACCAAAGAAUCAAAUAAUGAAGCAUUUAAACAAUGCAUGGGAGUUUGAACAUGUUAAAUAAUCAAGCAAUAGAAAGCAUGAAUGAGAGAAACAAGUAUAAAAGAUAACAUAUGAAUCAAAUAGAUGAAAAUAUACACACGAAGGAUCCACUGAAUAAUUUAAUCAGGAAAUGAGGUAAGUACCAAAUAAAAUCAGGGUAAAAGGCCUCUAAUACAUGGCAUAUGAGAUGAACAAGGGAGGAUCAAAAGAUCUCUUCAAUUGCCAUAAGCAAUCCCUAAGUCAAACAUCGAUCAUAAAGAAGUCAACUGAAAAUUCAAGUCAACUUAAAAAAUAACAAAUAAAUAGCAAAUUAAUCAAGAAAAUUAUGAAAAAUUAAACUAAAUGAGGUGGGGUCAGGACAUCAUCAUCCCCCAAAAAGAUUUUAAAAAUAAUGAAAAUUAGUACAUAAAUUAAUUAAAACAAAACAGAGGUCAAAUCAAAAGUCAAUUAAUGAAUCAAGCUAGGCUUGACACCAGACCAACAUUCUUCUGGUGUGAUUCCUUCUAGCUUCUUCGUCGGACAUCUGUUCAGGAUAUAUGUCGUAGUCGACACAGCUUCUCCCCAUAGUUCUUUGGGUAGAUGCUUGCCUUUCAACAUACUUUUAACCAUAUUCAUGAUGGCUAUAUUCUUCCUUUCUGCGACUCCAUUCUGCUGUGGAGUGUAGGGUGGAACCACCUCAUGCACAAUCCAUUCUUUCACACAUAAUGCGCCGAAGUCUUUCGACACAUAUUCUCCACCACCAUCAGUCCUCAAAAUCUUGAUCUUUCGAUCAUAGAUUUAAACUUGGCAAAUACCUCGAUCACUUCACUUUUCUUCUUGAUCAGGUAAGACCACAGUUUUCGACUGAAAUCAUCUAUGAAUGUAACAAAAUAUUUGUUACCUCCAAUCGAAUCCACCUGGAGAGGACCACAUACAUCAGAGUGUAUGACUUCAAGAAUUGCCUUCGACCUGCUUCCUGCAUCCUUACUGAAGUUGUUCUUAUGCUACUUCGCCUGCACGCAUUCUUCACACACUUCGUUUGGAAUGUCGAUUUCUGGUAAUCCUAAAACCAUAUUUCUUCUUUGCAAAUCUAUGAUUUCUUUAAAAUUGAGGUGGCCAAGCCUAUAAUUCUAUAUCCAUUCAUCUCUGCUGGCUACUGUUGCAAGGCACUUAUGCUCCAUCACAUUUAACUCUCGAUUUGAAUGCAAGAGAAUUAUGUUUGGUACCCAAUGUUGUGCUCCCUCAAAAGUUCAAAGUACCCAAUGUUGUGCUCAUGUGUACUGUGUUUCUGGGUUGACUUUGUAUCUCAAUCCUCCAUUCUGCAUACUUUUACUAAUAAUCCACAUCUAGGACCUUGAUGGCAUGCCACAUGAUCCAUCAAAUCACAAUCAGGGGUUCCAGAGAGAGUCAACCAUUGACUUUCUCCCUCCAUGGACUUCCCCCUCAGCGUGGGCUCACCGAAAAUGGGCCUAUACCCCUUGCUUUUUACACCCCACUCUCAAAAUCCCAUUGUUAUUUCAACAUAAAACACACCCCUACCCUUUUUUGUUUUAUUUACUUUUAUUUAAUUUAUUUUCUUAAUAAAUAAUGUCAAUAAACUAUUUUUAUUAUAAAAAAUUAACCAAUAAUUGAUUAAAUUAGUUGAUAAUUAUUUUUUACUAAUUAACGUUUAUUUUAUUUUUAGUCAAUAAAUAAAAAUACAAAAAUAACUUGUUUUAUAAUAAGGGUUUUAUUUGAUUAAUUUCAUGAUUAACUUUAGGGUUAACACUUAGGCAUUAUUGGGGUUAAUUAGGGUUUAAUCAAGAUAAUCAAUAAAUAAAAAUACAAAAAUAACUUGUUUUAUAAUAAGGGUUUUAUUUGAUUAAUUUCAUGAUUAACUUUAGGGUUAACACUUAGGCAUUAUUGGGGUUAAUUAGGGUUUAAUCAAGAUAAUAUUGACAUGUCUUAUGCUAAUUAAUUAUGUUUAAUAAUUUCUCAAAUAAAAAUAAUUAUGAUUUAAUUUCUGAUUAAAUUAAUUAUAAUAUUUUUGCAACAAACCAAUUAACUAAAAUAAAUGCCACACAUUAAAAUUUUAAGUCAUCUGCCUUUGUGCAUUGAGUCGUUUUCAAAUCAAACACAUUUUUCGCCCCCAAUGCGUUGAGAACUUUCAACAAUCUAAAAACAACUAAAACAAACAAACAUUUUCUAGAAGAAUUACGGUGCUCUGACCCUUCAUCUGAUAUGGAGGUACGUAGGCAUAAAGUUGUAACACUCUAGCGAGAGCGAUAACCAAAAAACCUUUUCUGUGUCUAACUCCAUUAAUCAACAUUUUUCUUUAAAUAAUAUCAUUUUCUUUAUAAAUAAGUAGAUUAAGCAAUAAUAGAUUACAUAAGUCAACAUUCCUUAUAAACACACACUACCACUAGGGUUAAAGGAGGAUCCCAUUGAGUAUAAUGGAGGUGAGAUGUUCCUAACACCUUCCUCUUGCUUAAGCGACUUUCGAACCCAUAUUCGGUUGCAAUGACUGUCUCACCAUUCCCUUAGGUUUUAUCAUUAUUUCCAUAUUUCUUAGGAACAAAUAAUAGAUGAUGGAGACUCUGUGAAUUUUCCAGCCACAACAAUAUGAUUAUGACGUGUCUCUAUGUUGAUGGCAUAUUGAUAACAGGGAGUUGUGAACAUGAGAUAGAUACGUUCAAGAAGGUGUUGAUGAGUGAGUUUGAGAUAACUGAUCUAGGAAAGAUGACAUAGUUCUUAGGGAUGAAGUUUAUGUACUAUGAGAAGGGUAUCAUUUUGCAUCAGCUGAAAUAUGAACUUGAGCUUCUCAAGAGAUUCGAGCUGCUGAAUUGUAAGGUUGUUGUCACACCUGUAGAAACAAAUCACAAAAUGGAUUAUAAUUCUUAAGGUGAUGAUGUAGAUGCCACAAAUUUCAAGCAUUUGGUUGGCUCUUUGAGGUAUUUGUGUAAUACCAGACCUGACAUUUGCGCUCUCAUUACCAAGAUGUUGUCAGGAUUCUGAGGUAUAUUAAGGGGACUUUGAAGUAUGGUUUUUUGUUCCCUUCUAGAGAAAAGGCUAGUUCAGAGCUAAUGUGUAAAUCAGACUCUGAUUGGUGUGGAGACAGAGUUGACAGAAGAAGUAUUUCUGGAUAUUUAUUUAAUCAUCUGGGAGUUCAUAUUUCUUGGUGUUUCAAUAAACAAUAAGUUAUUGCUUUGUUAACCUGAGAAGCUGAAUAUAUUGCAGAUUUUGUGGUUGCAUGUCAAGCUACUUGGCUUCUGAAUUUACUGCAAGAUUUGAAGAUCAAGAUAAACAAGCCUUUGAAGCUGGUGAUUAAUAACAAGUCUACAAUCAAUCUUGCCAAGAAUCCAUUGUUGCAUACGAGAAGCAAUAAUAUUGAGACUAAGUAUCAUUUUCUGAGAAGUCAGGUUCAGAAUGGAGUGCUAAAAGUUAUGCACUGUAGCACCCAGCAGCUGGUAGAUGUUCUAACGAAAGCGAUCAAGACUUAUCAAUUUCUCCACUUAAGGGAUGAAAUUGGUGUUGUCCAUUUUUUUUUAUUUUGUAAAAGUCUUGAAAAAAAUUAAAAUGAAACAUUAAAAAAAAGAAUAAUGAGGUUAAGAAAGAAUAUUAAUUUUUAUCUUGUGCCUACAUGACACUCAUUAUUUGUGUAUAUAUAUUAGUUAGCUGUCAACAAAAUUGUAGCAGCACAAAUCUGUUUAACAAAAUGUGUGGUGCACUUUUUUGCUUGUGACAGUUGUAAUAGUAAUCGGAAGUUAUGUUAAUUCUCUUUUUUCUCUCUUUCUCUCAUCUCAUCUUCUCCAUUUGUCCACCAAAAAAACAUCUAACCUUUAUUUUGAAAUCACCAAUAUCUUCAAUAAUAUUCAUAUUAUAAAGAUCAUAUAAAUAUGGAACAAUAUUACGAUUCUAAUAAACAAGAACAAAAGCAUCAAAAUAAGAACUUAAAAGUAUGUAAAUCUGUCAAUUGUCCUGACAAAUGGAAGUCUAAAGCUAAUUCAAGUAGCGGGUUUAUCAAUGGUAACACCGUGGAUAACUUUGAAAGUUAGACGUGUAAGGCUGAGUUGAGAAAUAGAGUGGUGUCUUUUGAACCAAAAGUGAGUGAGAAGAAAGAAUCGAGUGAAAUUGAGAAGAAGAGCGGAAAAGGAAGUGGUAGUGAAAAAGGAAGUUUGAGAAGUAUUCUAAGGGAGAAAAAAGUGAGAAUAAUACUGAUGAAGAAGUUAGAGACUACAUCCUUAACUAAUUCAUUGAUAAAAGUUCACCACUCAGGAGAACCAAACAAAAAACUGAUCUUGACUUAGCCGAAUCUUGAGCUACUUAUAACAUCAAACCUCUUUACUCGAUUCUAAAAAAGACACCUAGAAAAAUAAAUAGGAAAUGGACCACUUAAAUAAAUAUUUUUAACAAAAUAUAAUUCUGACAAAUUUCAAAUCAACUCAUUUCGUAUCGAUAUCAUAAAAUUAUCAAAAUUUAAGAUAUGUUUAGGAUUGACUCGAUUUCAUCUUGAUAUUCUCAAAGUACAAUAAAAAAACCCAACAAAAAGCGAACAACAAUUUUCAAAGGACAAGAGAAAAAACAAAAAAACAAAUAAAAGUACUAAAUAAAUAUGAUAAUAAUAAUAGAAUAUUGAUAUAAAUGAUAAAUAAAAUACUAUAUAAAAUAAAAUGUUUUUAUUAUAAUUUUAUUCGAACAAAAUGAUUACAUCAAAAUAUCAAAUAGUAAAAUCUAUUUAGGGUAUUUGAAUAGAUCUCUUAUUAGAAGAAGAUGGUGGAGUAAAACACUAACAUCUUCCCUUAAGACACCUUCCUAGAUUAGGAUCUUCACAGUUAGGUUGACAAUCUUGAUCUUUCUUACAAUAUAAUAUUCCUUCUGCCAAGCAAACAUCUACAUAUUCAAACAAUAAGAUUAGAAUUGGAUGUAAAAAAGAAAAAUUUGAAGAGUUAACUAAAAUGUUUGAAGUUAAACAUAAUAGCAUCAAACAUAUAUAAGUACAUUGAUUUCAAACCUGUUGCACAGAUGAAGAAGGCCAAUAAGAAUAAAAUGGCGAUAAGAGAUUUUCUUGUAGUAUUCAUCUUUGUAUCUUAUAUGUACAAAAUAU